This 228-nucleotide ribosomal RNA is filed under the name Triticum aestivum (bread wheat). Its description in RNAcentral is "partial small subunit ribosomal RNA". The record is from RNAcentral. Lineage: Eukaryota; Viridiplantae; Streptophyta; Magnoliopsida; Poales; Poaceae.
AUGAUUUUCUCUGUGAAAUCCUUGUACUUACAUUUAGUCAAGAAUAAUUGUGGCUUCUCACAGAAAGUCAAAGUGCCAGUUAAAAUCAAAGUUUUCUUGUGGCUUUUGAGUAGGUAAAGUAUACUGACUAGAGAUAAUCUAUUAAAAAGGGGAUGGAAAGGUGACAAGAAUUGUGUUUUUUGUGGACAGGACGAAAAUAUUGAUCACCUAUUUUCUCCUGCUCUGUAG